RNAcentral lists this ribosomal RNA (388 nucleotides) under uncultured bacterium. RNAcentral describes it as "bacterial SSU rRNA". It matches the Rfam family "Bacterial small subunit ribosomal RNA", at positions 28 to 426 of the family's 1533-position model. The record is from RNAcentral.
GAUGAACGCUAGCGGCAGGCUUAAUACAUGCAAGGCGAAGGGCAGCAGUGUCACUGUCGUACGGGUGCGUAACGCGUAUGCAACCUACCUAUCACUGAGGGAUAGCCCGGGGAAACCCGGAUUAAUACCGCAUAAACAGGGGCACCGCAUGGUGAUAUAUGUUAAAGAUUUAUUGGUGAUAGAUGGGCAUGCGUUCGAUUAGCUAGUUGGCGGGGUAACGGCCCACCAAGGCGACGAUCGAUAGGGAGCUGAGAGGUUGGAUCCCCCGACCACACGGGCACUGAGAUACGGGCCCGACUCCUACGGAGGCAGCAGUAGGGAAUAUUGGGCAAUGGAUGCAAGUCUGACCCAGCCAUGCCGCGUGCCGGAUGAAGGCCCUCAGGGUUGU